AGAGUUUGAUCCUGGCUCAGGAUGAACGCUAGCUACAGGCUUAACACAUGCAAGUCGAGGGGAAACGACAUCGAAAGCUUGCUUUUGAUGGGCGUCGACCGGCGCACGGGUGAGUAACGCGUAUCCAACCUGCCCACCACUUGGGGAUAACCUUGCGAAAGUAAGACUAAUACCCAAUGACGUCUCUAGAAGACAUCUGAAAGAGAUUAAAGAUUUAUCGGUGAUGGAUGGGGAUGCGUCUGAUUAGCUUGUUGGCGGGUAACGGCCACCAAGGCGACGGAUCAGUAGGGGUUCUGAGAGGAAGGGUCCCCCACAUUGGAACUGAGACACGGUUCCAAAACUCCUACGGAGGCA
This 354-nucleotide ribosomal RNA is filed under the name uncultured bacterium. Its description in RNAcentral is "bacterial SSU rRNA". It matches the Rfam family "Bacterial small subunit ribosomal RNA", at positions 8 to 350 of the family's 1533-position model. The record is from RNAcentral.